UACGGGGGGGGCAAGCGUUGUUCGGAAUUACUGGGCGUAAAGGGUGCGUAGGCGGCUUUCUAAGUUGGAUGUGAAAACUCUGGGCUCAACCCAGAGACUGCAUCCAAAACUGGAGAGCUUGGGUUCUGGAGGGGAAAGCGGAAUUCCUGGUGUAGCGGUGAAAUGCGUAGAUAUUGGGAGGAACACCAGUGGCGAAGGCGGCUACCUGGACCGGUUCUGACGCUGAUGCGCGAAAGCGUGGGUAGCAAACAGG
Molecule: ribosomal RNA, 253 nt
Filed under: uncultured bacterium
Lineage: Bacteria
Description: partial 16S ribosomal RNA
Rfam family: Bacterial small subunit ribosomal RNA
Source: RNAcentral